GAUGAACGCUGGCGGCGUGCUUAACACAUGCAAGUCGAACGGAAAGGCUCCUGCUUGCAGGGGUACUCGAGUGGCGAACGGGUGAGUAACACGUGGGUGAUCUGCCCUGCACUUCGGGAUAAGCCUGGGAAACUGGGUCUAAUACCGGAUAGGACGAUGGUUUGGAUGCCAUUGUGGAAAGUUUUUCGGUGUGGGAUGAGCUCGCGGCCUAUCAGCUUGUUGGUGGGGUAAUGGCCUACCAAGGCGUCGACGGGUAGCCGGCCUGAGAGGGUGUACGGCCACAUUGGGACUGAGAUACGGCCCAGACUCCUACGGGAGGCAGCAGUGGGGAAUAUUGCACAAUGGGCGCAAGCCGGAUGCAGCGACGCCGCGUGGGGGAUGACGGCCUUCGGGUUGUAAACUCCUUUCGCUAGGGACGAAGCGUUUUGUGACGGUACCUGGAGAAGAAGCACCGGCUAACUACGUG
This 466-nucleotide ribosomal RNA is filed under the name uncultured bacterium. RNAcentral describes it as "partial 16S ribosomal RNA". It matches the Rfam family "Bacterial small subunit ribosomal RNA", at positions 28 to 507 of the family's 1533-position model. The record is from RNAcentral.